Molecule: ribosomal RNA, 660 nt
Filed under: uncultured bacterium
Lineage: Bacteria
Description: bacterial SSU rRNA
Rfam family: Bacterial small subunit ribosomal RNA
Source: RNAcentral
UGAAUAACGUGCCCCUAAAACCGAUAGCCGAUGGAAACGUCGAGUAAUACGGAUGCGACCUCGAGAAGGCAUCUUCUUGAGAUUAAAUGGAUUCCGUUUAGGGAGCGGUUCAUGGCCUAUCAGCUAGUUGGUGAGGUAAAGGCUCACCAAGGCGACGACGGGUAGCGGGUCUAAGAGGACGAUCCGCUCGAGUGGGACUGAGACACGGCCCACACACCUACGGGUGGCAGCAGUUGGGAAUCUUGCACAAUGGGGGAAACCCUGAUGCAGCGACGCCGCGUGGAGGACGAAGGGUCUAGGCCUGUAAACUCCUUUUAUUGGGAAAGACUUAGGACGGUACCCAAUGAAUAAGGACCGGCUAACUACGUGCCAGCAGCCGCGGUAAGACGUAGGGUCCAAGCGUUGUCCGGAUUUACUGGGCGUAAAGAGCGCGUAGGCGGUCUGUUAAGUGAAAAGUGAAAUCUCCAUCGCUCAACGAGGAAAUUGCUUCUCAUACUGGCAGACUAGAGGAAUGCAGAGGUAAGUGGAAUUCCUGGUGUAGCGGUGAAAUGCGUAGAUAUCAGGAGGAACACCCAUGGCGAAGGCAGCUUACUGGGCAUUAUCUGACGCUGAGGCGCGAAAGCGUGGGUAGCAAACAGGAUUAGAGAACCCUGGUAGUCC